Molecule: ribosomal RNA, 253 nt
Filed under: uncultured bacterium
Lineage: Bacteria
Description: partial 16S ribosomal RNA
Rfam family: Bacterial small subunit ribosomal RNA
Source: RNAcentral
UACGGAGGGCGCGAGCGUUACCCGGAUUUACUGGGCGUAAAGGGCGUGUAUGCGGUCUGGGGCGUCCCAUGUGAAAGGCCCCGGCUCAACCGUGGAGGAGCGUGGGAUACGCUCAGGCUAGACGGUGGGAGAGGGUGGUGGAAUUCCCGGAGUAGCGGUGAAAUGCGCAGAUACCGGGAGGAACGCCGAUGGCGAAGGCAGCCACCUGGCUCACUGGUGACGCUGAGGCGCGAAAGCGUGGGGAGCAAACAGG